AAAGUGCGAUAACUCAGGUGAAUUGCAACUGGCGCGAAUCCUUGAACUUUUGAACGCAUACUGUGCCCCGGUGUAACAGCUGGGGCGUGUCUGUUUGAGCGUCGAAUACAAAACAUCACUGUUAAAUACCUCGCAAGGGGUCUUUUGACAUGUGUACUUGGAUUCUGUAGUUUAUUCUACAUUAUCUUAAAUACAAUAAUUUGGGUGGGGGUUUCUUAUGUGAAUCGCACUUGUCCUAUAUCAUGGUUAAGGGGAUUAUUCAUUCUCAAGAUAUAUGGUAAAGACUUGUGCAUUUAUGGUUUGCUUUAGUUAUCCUGUUUUAUAUAUCCAAUCUACUGUUCCCUUAAUUUCUAGACCUCAAAUCAGGCACGAUUACCCGCUGAAUUUAA
RNAcentral lists this unclassified non-coding RNA (389 nucleotides) under uncultured fungus. RNAcentral describes it as "sequence contains ITS1". The stretch from base 1 to 104 matches the Rfam family "5.8S ribosomal RNA", at positions 50 to 154 of the family's 154-position model. Lineage: Eukaryota; Fungi. The record is from RNAcentral.